CAUGGGACACCCUAACUUAGCGCACAAGAAAUGUGAAAUAUCAUGUGCCGCCCUAACUUAUCCAGUCCGAUACGGAGGGCGCCGAUGCAGUAGAUGCCGUUGCAGCGGGCGGCUCUGUUAUCUGAUUGGGCGCCAGCGAUCGCAUGAUCUUGUUUAUGCGUAGGCGGCUCUUAUCUCUUGUGAGCGCGGACGGCUCGCCGGCUAGGUUUCGGUGUAGGUUUAGAAGUAAGCUUUAGUUUAGAAUUGGACGAAUAAAUGAACGGAGCGUUCACAUAAACUCCGACACGAGUCGUAAAACGUGUAUUGAUAUAAUCAUAUUGUUGAGCCUUAAGGGCCAACGAAAUAGAGGGCAAUUACCCUCUCAACAUAAUCUUCGGUAGAAGACUCAGUUGCCAACCGCAACCACCGUCCCCCGCUACAAGAGCGGGCCACGGGAACCCGAUCGCUGCCGCCGGAGCCAACGCAACGCAUACCGCAGCUCGGACCAAAAACCGCCAUAAGAUAAUUGGCGCCCAACGGGAUUUAGGAUCCACGUCCCCAAGAAAAAUAACAUGUAAGUGACUGUUCGGAAAAAAUAAAGCUUGUGAGAGACUUUUUAUCUCCCCUUCGCUGAUCGUUCAUGAGUUGGGACUAUAGAAACAAGGUCGAACAUAGACUUAUUGUACCAGCCACCAGUCAGAACAGUGCAGAAUCAAUUUAAAAUGGACCCAGCCACGAUAAAAGCGUUAGUAGAAGGCGCAAUCAACACAGCCCUCGUCGAACAGGAACGACGACUGAGUGCAGAAUUUAGCAGGGAACUCGAAAAAGUUAGAAAUAGUGUGAGCGCUCUAACUGUAGGUGUCCCUCAGGUGGAAACUUAUAAGAGAGUGACCAUUGACCCUAGUAUAAAAUGUGAAAUGAAACUAGAUAUCAUAAAAUCAGUACCAACUUUCAACGGGAAUCAUGAGGAAUAUGUGUCUUGGAGACAAUCUGCUGUAGAUGCAUACGAAGUUUUCAAAAACUACUCUGGUAGUCAGACACACUACGAGGCUGUGGCCAUCAUAAAAAAUAAAAUCUGUGGAACAGCUCGAGCAUUGCUCACAUCGCACAACACGGUGCUCAAUUUUGAUGCAAUCAUAGCUAGACUCGAUUGCACAUAUGCGGACAAAACAUCCCUACGAGUAUUACGUCAACACUUGGAAAUGGUUAGGCAGGGUGAAACCGAUCUAAUGGAAUAUUAUGACGAAGUCGAGAGAAAGCUCACGCUCGUCACUAACAAAGUGGUCAUGACUCAUAAUGAGGAGGCAGCUACCAUUCUCAACGAGGAAAUUAGGAAUGAUGCUUUACACGCAUUCAUAGCGGGCCUCAAGAGGCCGCUAAAAUUGUUCGUUCUCCCGGCACAGCCCAAGGAUUUGCCAUCCGCCUUAGCUCUAGCUCGCGAGGCCGAAAAUAGCAUUGAGAGAAGCGCAUUUGCCGCUACGUAUGCAAAGGUGAUCGAGGAUAAAAACCAUUCAGGCGACGGCAAUAGACAGGGUCAUCGGGCCCAGGCCAGACAAGGUAGAGGUCAGGAAAAGAACCCACAUUUUGUGGGAAAAAGUAAUCAAAAUAGGCAGCAACAGGGUGAUCCUUGGCCAAAGCCAAACGAUAAAGAGGCCCCACAACAAAACCAAGUGCAGCCUAUGGAAGUUGACCCAUCGAUGUCUAGGUUUAGGCAACAGACCAAUUGGGGGAAACCACAGAGCGACGUCACACAGGGCGAAGCUCAGAAAAGGCGGAACACGUCAGAUCGUAUAUCUGGGCAAAGACGCCAACGGAUAAAUAAUAUAAUACAGCAGGCCCCUAACCAAGGGGAACAAGAAUUUUUUAGGGAGCGCUCCCAAUUGCCGUUCGUCGAGCGACAGUUGGCUGGCAAAACACUAAAAAUUUUAAUCGACACUGGUGCGGCUAAAAAUUACAUAAAGCCCAUAAAGGAGCUGAAAACCGUAACUUCGGUCGACACCCCCUUCACCGUGAGUUCGUACAUGGCUCCAGUGAAAUAAAAAACAAGUGCCUAAUGAAUAUUUUCGGGCAAAACGCCCCAUUUUUUUUGUUAGACACUCUAGCUACGUUCGAUGCCAUUAUAGGUUCCGAUUUGCUAACGCGAGCGGGAGCGGCAUUGAACCUGCGCAGCGGAACAAUCAGAUACGGAAACGUAACUGAACAACUUAGGUUCCAUAACUGUGACAACGUAAAUUUCACCAAAGUCGAUGACCUGGUGGUCCCAGGCUCGGUAAAAUCCGAGUUCAAAAAGAUGAUACUGAAGAGAAUUCAAGUUUUUUCGACCUCUAACGAGGCGCUUCCCUUUAACACCUCAGUCGUCGCCACCAUCCGAACUGUGAAUGACGAACCAGUCUACUCGAAAUUAUACCCCUACCCUAUGGGAGCAGCAGACUUCGUUAACAAAGAAGUCAAAGAACUGCUGAAGGACGGCAUAAUCAGGCCAUCUAGGUCGCCAUACAACAGCCCAAUUUGGGUUGUAGACAAAAAGAAAUCUGACGUCAAAGGCAACAGGAAAAAGCGGCUGGUAAUCGACUUCAGAAAACUGAACGAGCGAACAAUUGCCGAUCGAUACNCCCCCUUCACCGUGAGCUCGAUACAUGGCUCCAGUGAAAUAAAAAACAAGUGCCUAAUGAAUAUUUUCGGGCAAAACGCCCCAUUUUUUUUUGUUAGACACUCUAGCUACGUUCGAUGCCAUUAUAGGUUCCGAUUUGCUAACGCGAGCGGGAGCGGCAUUGAACCUGCGCAGCGGAACAAUCAGAUACGGAAACGUAACUGAACAACUUAGGUUCCAUAACUGUGACAACGUAAAUUUCACCAAAGUCGAUGACCUGGUGGUCCCAGGCUCGGUAAAAUCCGAGUUUAAAAAGAUGAUACUGAAGAGAAUUAAAGUUUUUUCUACCUCUAACGAGGCGCUUCCCUUUAACACCUCAGUCGUCGCCACCAUCCGAACUGUGAAUGACACAAAACCAGUCUACUCGAAAUUAUACCCCUACCCUAUGGGAGCAGCAGACUUCGUUAACAAAGAAGUCAAAGAACUGCUGAAGGACGGCAUAAUCAGGCCAUCUAGGUCGCCAUACAACAGCCCAAUUUGGGUUGUAGACAAAAAGAAAUCUGACGUCAAAGGCAACAGGAAAAAGCGGCUGGUAAACGACUUCAGAAAACUGAACGAGCGAACAAUUGCCGAUCGAUACCCUAUGCCGAGCAUACCCAUGAUUCUAGCGAACUUGGGAAAGACAAGAUUUUUUACUACCCUAGAUCUAAAAUCAGGGUACCACCAGAUAUACAUGGCGGAAAAAGACCGUGAAAAAACUUCGUUUUCAAUUAACGGAGGGAAAUACGAGUUUUGCCGGUUACCCUUUGGACUAAAGAAUGCUGGGAGCAUUUUCCAAAGGGCAAUCGACGAUGUUCUACGAGAACAAAUUGGGAAAAUAUGUUAUGUCUAUGUAGAUGAUGUAAUAAUUUUUUCCGAAAACGAAAAUGAUCACGUUAAACACAUCGACACAGUGCUAAAACGCCUCUGCGAUGCAAACAUGAGAGUGGCCCCAGAAAAGACAAAGUUCUUUAAAGAAAGCGUAGAGUUCUUAGGCUUCAUAGUUACCAGGGGAGGAGCCAAGACCGACCCAGAAAAAGUAAGGGCAAUAAGGGAAUACACUGAACCCAAAACACUGUUCAACCUCAGGUCCUUCCUCGGGCUGGCCAGCUAUUUCAGGAGCUUUGUCAGAGAUUUCGCGACAAUAGCGAGACCCUUAACCGCAUUACUCAAAGGAGAAAAUGGCACAGUCAGCAAACACAUGUCCAAGAAAGUUGCGAUUCAGUUCGGUGAAACGCAACGCAUUCGACCGUCUGCGAAACAUUUUGGCGUCAGAGGACGUCAUCCUUACGUACCCUGAUUUCAAACUACCCUUUGAUCUAACUACCGAUGCCUCAGCAAGCGGCAUGGGGCGGUCCUGUCCCAAAACGGCAGGCCAAUCACAAUGAUCUCGCGAACACUAAAAGAUUGUGAAGUAAACUACGCCACAAACGAAAGGGAAUUGAUGGCAAUUGUAUGGGCUAUAGGGAAGUUACAAAAUUACUUAUACGGUACCAAGGAAGUAAGAAUCUUUACCGAUCACCAGCCCUUAACAUUUGCUGUGUCCGAUAGGAACACAAAUUCCAAAAUCAAACGGUGGAAAGCCUUUAUAGAGGAACAUAACGCUAAGGUGUUCUACAAACCGGGUAAGGAAAACUUCGUGGCCGACGCCCUGUCCAGACAAAACAUUAAUAACCUACACGAAGAGCCUCAGUCCGAUGCUGCCACGGUGCACAGCGAGCUCUCUCUGUCCUACACAGUGUUUUACUCAACUGUUUCAGAAACCAAAUAAUUCUAGAAGAAGCUAGCCAGCCUCUACGGCGAAACUUCAUAAUUUUCGGCGGAAAAACCCGCCACAUUAUUCACUUCAACGAUAAGGACUCACUAAUUAAGUCAGUAAAGGAGGUGGUCAAUUCCAAGGUCGUGAAUGCAAUCCACUGUGAUCUUCCGACCUUAGCUACCCUCCAACAUGCUCUGGUGCUGGAGUUUCCCGCAACCAAGGUUUGGCAUUGCAAAAACUUCGUGAACGAUAUCACAGAUGCAAGCGAGCAGGCUGAAAUAAUUACAGCCGAACACAAUCGCGCCCAUAGGGCCGCCCAAGAAAAUGUUAAGCAGGUCCUUCGUGACUACUUUUUCCCGAAAAUGACCAAACUUGCUAACGAGGUGGUUAGGAACUGCAGAGUCUGCACCAAGGCAAAGUAUAACAGACACCCAAAAAAACAAGAGCUGGGGGUCACCCCUGUUCCGUCAUACGCCGGAGAAAUGCUGCACAUUGACAUAUUCUCCACAGACAAGAAACUUUUUUUGACCUGCAUCGACAAGUUCUCAAAGUUUGCCAUACUACAGCCCCUCUCUUCCAGGGCUAUAGUAGAGGUACGAGCCCCCAUUAUACAAUUGAUCAAUUUGUACCCGAAUACCAAGAUCAUAUAUUGUGACAAUGAGCCUUCCUUCAACUCCGAAACAAUUACCUCUUUGCUUAAAAACCAAUAUGGCAUCGACAUCGUAAAUGCACCCCCUCUACAUAGUAGCUCCAACGGGCAAGUAGAGAGAUUUCACAGCACGUUGGCAGAGAUAGCAAGGUGCAUAAAAAUCGACCAAAAGAUUGAGGACACCGUCGAGCUAAUCAUGCGCGCCACUGUAGAAUACAACAGGACGCUACAUUCGGUCAUAGACCAGAAGCCUGUAGAAGCAAUCCAUGUAAGCAACAACGAUCUGAAGUUAGCAAUUAGAACCAGAAUUGAUAAGGCACAAAAGGCCAAUAUCGACAGGUUUAACAUCUCGAGGCAGAACAGAGUCUUUGAAGUGGGUGAAAAGGUUUACCCAAGGAAUAACAAAAGACUAGGGAACAAGCUAACCCCGCUGUACUCAGAAGAACGGGUACAAGCGGACCUUGGAACGGCAGUUCUAAUUAAGGGGAGGGUGGUCCAUAAGGACAAUCUGAAAUAAUUCAAACUUUUGUUUUACAGAUUUAAGGUAUCAUUCCCGCAGGUUUGACGGAAUACUCUUCCUACUCCCUUCUACUACAACUGCGCGGAUCAUCGCCUUUUAUACAGUUAAAAUGUUGGAGUUGUUCCCACAUUCAGAUAUAGAACAUAAAAAAAUCCGUUGUCCGCUUUAAUGAUACAUGGCCAGAAGCCUAGACUUCCUGAUAACAGCAUUAAAGGUCGUAGCAAGUACCCCCGACGAGUUGGGCUUCGAAAAAAUAGCAGCUUGUAGAAUCAUAGACUGAUUAACUGAGUACUGAUUAACACAGAGGCACAGAAACAGGAUGCUAAUUUCGGUAGUCCAAAUCUCAUGAUUANNNNNNNNNNNNNNNNNNNNNNNNNNNNNNNNNNNNNNNNNNNNNNNNNNNNNNNNNNNNNNNNNNNNNNNNNNNNNNNNNNNNNNNNNNNNNNNNNNNNNNNNNNNNNNNNNNNNNNNNNNNNNNNNNNNNNNNNNNNNNNNNNNNNNNNNNNNNNGAACAGAGUCUUUGAAGUGGGCGAAAAGGUUUACCCAAGGAAUAACAAAAGACUAGGGAACAAGCUAACCCCGCUGUACUCAGAAGAACGGGUACAAGCGGACCUUGGAACGGCAGUUCUAAUUAAGGGGAGGGUGGUCCAUAAGGACAAUCUGAAAUAAUUCAAACUUUUGUUUUACAGAUUUAAGGUAUCAUUCCCGCAGGUUUGACGGAAUACUCUUCCUACUCCCUUCUACUACAACUGCGCGGAUCACCGCCUUUUAUACCGUUAAAAUGUUGGAGUUGUUCCCACAUUCAGAUAUAGAACAUAAAAAAAUCCGUUGUCCGCUUUAAUGAUACAUGGCCAGAAGCCUAGACUUCCUGAUAACAGCAUUAAAGGUCGUAGCAAGUACCCCCGACGAGUUGGGCUUCGAAAAAAUAGCAGCUUGUAGAAUCAUAGACUGAUUAACUGAGUACUGAUUAACACAGAGGCACAGAAACAGGAUGCUAAUUUCGGUAGUCCAAAUCUCAUGAUUACGAUCACACUUGCCAAAGCGAAUAUCCCACUAAGACCUAAAAUCUAUUUUUACCGAACAGCUCACAGAGGUCCCAGU
Molecule: long non-coding RNA, 6637 nt
Filed under: Drosophila guanche
Lineage: Eukaryota; Metazoa; Arthropoda; Insecta; Diptera; Drosophilidae
Source: RNAcentral